This is a long non-coding RNA of Cheilinus undulatus (humphead wrasse), 602 nucleotides long. RefSeq lists it as uncharacterized. The record is from RefSeq and is a predicted model, not a curated record. The transcript is spliced from 4 exons. Lineage: Eukaryota; Metazoa; Chordata; Actinopteri; Labriformes; Labridae.
GCUUGGCAGAGAGAGGCAUGUUGUAAGGACGAAGAUAUCCUUUUGACUGAUUUUGCUCCCUCUGAAUUUACUCAGGUGACUAGAGGCACAGCUAAAGGAAGUCCGCUGUCUCUUUGUUGUUUGCCCUGGCCAGAGCAGUGGAGAGAGAGAGAGUUACGUCAACUCCAUAGACGCCAAUGGGCCAAUAAUUUUACAGCAAUGGCGGAUCAUGGGAGCCCCCAAUAGUUCCAAACAAUGCGACCGUGUCAAUAGGAUUCCUACGGCGAAGCUUCUCAGUGUUCAUUUGGCAGCUGGAGGCUUCAGCCUGCACAUAGGAGAUAUUCCCCUGGAGGACCUACACAGUAUUCAAACACUGCUUUUUCCAAUCACUAUUAAACUGCCAAAGCUUGAUUUCUGUUGAUAUUUUACUGACUAGACUUCUUCUGACCUUACAGGAAUCCAAAUAAUUUAGCCAGCCUUCUCUCUUGCUCUUGGAAGACUAGAUCCUACAAGAGGCUUCACAGCAGCUACACUGCCUGGUCAAAAAAAAAAAAAGUCGCCACCUGGAUUUAACUAAGCAAAUAGGUACAAGCCUCCUAUUGGAUAAUUACUGCAUGGGCGAU